RNAcentral lists this ribosomal RNA (491 nucleotides) under uncultured bacterium. RNAcentral describes it as "partial 16S ribosomal RNA". It matches the Rfam family "Bacterial small subunit ribosomal RNA", at positions 29 to 506 of the family's 1533-position model. The record is from RNAcentral.
AGUGAACGCUGGCGGUAGGCCUAACACAUGCAAGUCGAGCGGCAGCACAGUAAGAGCUUGCUCUUACGGGUGGCGAGUGGCGGACGGGUGAGGAAUACAUCGGAAUCUACUUUUUCGUGGGGGAUAACGUAGGGAAACUUACGCUAAUACCGCAUACGACCUACGGGUGAAAGCAGGGGAUCUUCGGACCUUGCGCGAUUGAAUGAGCCGAUGUCGGAUUAGCUAGUUGGCGGGGUAAAGGCCCACCAAGGCGACGAUCCGUAGCUGGUCUGAGAGGAUGAUCAGCCACACUGGAACUGGGACACGGUCCAGACUCCUACGGGAGGCAGCAGUGGGGAAUAUUGGACAAUGGGCGCAAGCCUGAUCCAGCCAUACCGCGUGGGUGAAGAAGGCCUUCGGGUUGUAAAGCCCUUUUGUUGGGAAAGAAAAGCAGCAGGUUAAUACCCCGCUGUUCUGACGGUACCCAAAGAAUAAGCACCGGCUAACUUCGU